This 467-nucleotide ribosomal RNA is filed under the name uncultured bacterium. Its description in RNAcentral is "partial 16S ribosomal RNA". It matches the Rfam family "Bacterial small subunit ribosomal RNA", at positions 28 to 506 of the family's 1533-position model. The record is from RNAcentral.
GACGAACGCUGGCGGCGUGCUUAACACAUGCAAGUCGAACGGAAAGGCCCUGCUUUUGUGGGGUGCUCGAGUGGCGAACGGGUGAGUAACACGUGAGUAACCUGCCCUUGACUUUGGGAUAACUUCAGGAAACUGGGGCUAAUACCGGAUAGGAGCUCCUGCUGCAUGGUGGGGGUUGGAAAGUUUCGGCGGUUGGGGAUGGACUCGCGGCUUAUCAGCUUGUUGGUGGGGUAGUGGCUUACCAAGGCUUUGACGGGUAGCCGGCCUGAGAGGGUGACCGGCCACAUUGGGGCUGGGAUACGGCCCAGACUCCUACGGGAGGCAGCGGUGGGGAAUAUUGCACAAUGGGCGGAAGCCUGAUGCAGCAACGCCGCGUGCGGGAUGACGGCCUUCGGGUUGGAAACCGCUUUCGCCUGUGACGAAGCGUGAGUGACGGUAAUGGGGAAAGAAGCACCGGCUAACUACGU